AAUCCAUGACCAAAGAAUCGUCACAAAUCGAAGCUUACAAAAUGGAGUAAAAUUUUUUUUUACUCAGUAAUAUGCUUUGGGUUGAAAGUCUCCCACCAAUUCGUAUGCGGAAAACGUAAUGAGAUUUAAAAAUUUUAAAUUGUUUAAAUCAACUCAUUAAGGAGGAUGCCCUUGGGUAUUCUGCUUCUUGACCUGGUACCUCUAUUGCAGGGUACUGGUGUUUUCUUCGGUACUGGAUUCCGUUUGUAUGGAAUCUAAACCAUAGUUAUGACGAUUGCUCUUUCCCGUGCUGGAUCGAGUAACCCAAUGGAGCUUACUAUUCUUGGUCCAUGGAUUCACCC
RNAcentral lists this RNase MRP RNA (341 nucleotides) under Saccharomyces cerevisiae YJM1447. RNAcentral describes it as "NME1". It matches the Rfam family "RNase MRP". Rfam says of the family: RNase MRP is an enzymatically active ribonucleoprotein with two distinct roles in eukaryotes. In mitochondria it plays a direct role in the initiation of mitochondrial DNA replication. In the nucleus it is involved in precursor rRNA processing, where it cleaves the internal transcribed spacer 1 between 18S and 5.8S rRNAs. Lineage: Eukaryota; Fungi; Ascomycota; Saccharomycetes; Saccharomycetales; Saccharomycetaceae. The record is from RNAcentral.